Molecule: long non-coding RNA, 1119 nt
Organism: Amblyraja radiata (thorny skate)
Lineage: Eukaryota; Metazoa; Chordata; Chondrichthyes; Rajiformes; Rajidae
Exons: 3
Source: RefSeq, a predicted model, not a curated record
AAGACAAGUCAGGGCAGGUCAUCACGAGUCUCGGUGGAGCGAUGUCGCCGUCAGCCCCGGCCGUUGUUUCUGGAAUGUUCCACGCCAGGCGGGGCAGACACGGCGAGGCGGCACGGGAUUUAAAUAUCCACACGAGCGAGGGCUCGGGAGGGGAGAAGCGUACUGCAACUUACAACUUGAUCACCUGACAACAACUUGUUGACUGCAUCUGGCUUUCACGUGAGACCCAGUCGCUCUCUUAAUUACAGCUCAGAUCGGGCCAUCACACAAAGAACAUUUCUGAGAGCAAUGGUGUCUUGAACAAGGGUUACAAUCAUUUGGACACUUACAACAGAGAUGAGAAGAAAUGUCUUCACCCAGAGGCUGGCAAAUCUUUGGAAUAUUCUAAACGUAAGGCUGAAGAGGCUCAGUCAUUAAGAAAUAUAUUCUUUGAUGUAAAAGAAGUCAAGUAGUUUGGGGAUUGUGCUGUGAUUUUAUUGAAUUGCAGUGCAAGCAUGAGGGGCUGAAUGGACCACCAUAGUUUCUGUUUUAUGUUCAUAUGUUCCCUUCCCUUAUCUCUGUUCCAACCUCUCAUCUUCCCUCAUUUUCUCUCACUCACUUCUCCCUUCUCUCACUCUGACGCUUCUUUCUCCUAUUUUGAUUUCCCCUUUCUCAUUCUUACGCCACCCUCCCCCCAUUCACUACGUUUUCCAACCCUUCUUAAAAAUCAAUUGAAAAAAAAUGAUGUUGGAUUUGAUUUUACAUUAGACCAAAAGACCAAAACAUAGGAUUUUCAUAGCUCAGAAUAAAAAGUUACUUAUGAUUAAUUUAUUUGAUCCCAAUUAGUUAUUUUGACUCAAAAAUGUUAACUUUGCUUCAAAUGGUUCUAUAUGAUUGCUAAGUGAUUCAGUAUGAUUUACUAUGAGGAAAAAGUAUGCCAUCUUUCAGAGGAUUUGAGAUUUGAUUUUUUUUUCUCCUAUCAGUUAUAGUAAAUAGAUUAAAUGUUUCAUUUCCUUUAUUGCUAUCAAUUCUGCCCCCAAAAUCUUGUGAAAUCAAAAAAAUAUCAAAGUUCAUGAGUGUACUUACUUGUUAAUCCUUGAUUUAUAAAUCUAACACUUUAUAUUUGCCAAUAUGCUUACU